This 328-nucleotide ribosomal RNA is filed under the name uncultured bacterium. Its description in RNAcentral is "bacterial SSU rRNA". It matches the Rfam family "Bacterial small subunit ribosomal RNA", at positions 568 to 898 of the family's 1533-position model. The record is from RNAcentral.
UGCGUAGGCGGUUCCAUAAGUCAGUGGUGAAAUACAAUAGCUUAACUAUUGAGGUGCCAUUGAUACUGCGGAACUUGAGUACAGACGAGGUAGGCGGAAUUGACGGUGUAGCGGUGAAAUGCUUAGAUAUCGUCAAGAACACCGAUAGCGAAGGCAGCUUACUAGACUGUAACUGACGCUGAGGCACGAAAGUGUGGGGAUCAAACAGGAUUAGAUACCCUGGUAGUCCACACUGUAAACGAUGAUUACUCGAUGUUGGCGAUACACAGCCAGCGUCUUAGCAAAAGCGAUAAGUAAUCCACCUGGGGAGUACGCCGGCAACGGUGAA